RNAcentral lists this ribosomal RNA (553 nucleotides) under uncultured archaeon. RNAcentral describes it as "bacterial SSU rRNA". It matches the Rfam family "Archaeal small subunit ribosomal RNA", at positions 325 to 879 of the family's 1478-position model. The record is from RNAcentral.
ACGGGGCGCAGCAGGCGAGAAAACUUUGCAAUGUGCGAAAGCACGACAAGGUUAAUCCGAGUGGUUUCUGCUAAAGGAACCUUUUGUUAGUUCUAGAAAUACUAACGAAUAAGGGGUGGGCAAGUUCUGGUGUCAGCCGCCGCGGUAAAACCAGCACCUCAAGUGGUCAGGAUGAUUAUUGGGCCUAAAGCAUCCGUAGCCUGCUCUGUAAGUUUUCGGUUAAAUCUGUAUGCUCAACAUACAGGCCGCCGGAAAUACUGCAGAGCUAGGGAGUGGGAGAGGUAGACGGUACUCGGGAGGAAGUGGUAAAAUGCUUUGAUCUCUCGAUGACCACCUGUGGCGAAGGCGGUCUACCAGAACACGUUCGACGGUGAGGGAUGAAAGCUGGGGGAGCAAACCGGAUUAGAUACCCGGGUAGUCCCAGCUGUAAACUAUGCAAACUCAGUGAUGCAUUGGCUUGAUGCCAAUGCAGUGUUGCAGGGAAGCCGUUAAGUUUGCCGCCUGGGAAGUACGUACGCAAGUAUGAAACUUAAAGGAAUUGGCGGGGGAGCAC